GUAUUGAGAAAAGCUGAAAAACUGUUAGCCUUCCAUAACACAUUAAACGUUUUGUGUAUGGAUGGCUUAGGACAAUAAACAACAUCAUUAAAGUAAAAUUAUGUCAGUCUGUUCAUAUUAACUUAUUUAAAUCAAUGAAAAUUUUGAUGAGAUGACUAAAUGGAUGCUUUGGAAAUGCAGGAUUAUAGGAGGCCUAAAAGUGCAUCUUGUUUCUUGUAACCCUUUUAAAACCAAUAUGCCUGGCUAGGUGCAGUGGCUCAUGCCUGUAAUACCAACGGGGUAACACAGGGUUAUGCCGUCUAUACAAAAAAAUAAAUGAGCUGGGCAAGAUGGCAUGCACCUGUAGUCCCAGCUGCUUGGUAGGCUGAGGGGGAAGGAUUGCUUGAGCCUGGGAGGUCGAGACUGCAGUGAGCCAAGAUCACACCACUGCACUCCAGCCUGGGUGACAGAGCAAGACUCUACCUCAAAAAUAAAAAUAAUCAAUAUAGUUUCAAUGAAGCAAAGCAUCUCAGGUAACAAUUUGAGCAUAACUUUAACCAUAACUUAUGAUAGCAUAAUAACAUUCAUUAGUAAUUCAGUAGCCGUAUGUGCCAGGCUGUGUUAGGUGCUUUAUAUAUUGUUUAAUUUUUAAAAACUUGUGGAGUGUACAGAUUGGUAAGGUGACAUUGUAUCACAAAGCUAGUCUUUGAGUCCAAAGUUUUGUGGUUUUAUGUUAUGAUAUACUUUUAUCAUGGAAUUGUCUUAUUAAAUGUUUUGCCAGUGGUUCUUAAAGUGUGUUUCUGACACCAGUAGCAUUGACUUCACUUAGAAACCUGUUAGAAAUACAAAUUAUUUGGCCCCACCCAACACUUGAGUCACAAACUUUGCAGAUGGGGCUCAAUCUGUUUUAACAAGCGCUUCAUGUAAUUUUGAUGCAGGCCUAAGUUUUUGAGCCACUGCAGUAUGCAUUUCUAUUUUUAAGCAAAGAUCUUGGUCUUUCUUUUUGGACAUUGUAGAAAUAACAUGAACUUGUUUUUUGUUUGUUUUUGUUUUGUUUUGUUUUAAG
RNAcentral lists this long non-coding RNA (1045 nucleotides) under Homo sapiens (human). Its description in RNAcentral is "long non-coding RNA NONHSAT232255". Lineage: Eukaryota; Metazoa; Chordata; Mammalia; Primates; Hominidae. The record is from RNAcentral.